This 253-nucleotide ribosomal RNA is filed under the name uncultured bacterium. Its description in RNAcentral is "partial 16S ribosomal RNA". It matches the Rfam family "Bacterial small subunit ribosomal RNA", at positions 524 to 776 of the family's 1533-position model. The record is from RNAcentral.
UACAGAGGGGGCAAGCGUUGUUCGGAAUUAUUGGGCGUAAAGGGUGCGUAGGCGGUGCGGUAAGUCUUCUGUGAAAUCUACGGGCUCAACUCGUAGUCUGCAGGAGAAACUGCCGUGCUUGAGUAUGGGAGAGGUGAGUGGAAUUCCUGGUGUAGCGGUGAAAUGCGUAGAUAUCAGGAGGAACACCUGUGGCGAAGGCGGUUCUCUGGGACGGUACUGACGCUGAGACGCGAAAGCGUGGGGAGCGAACAGG